This 4005-nucleotide long non-coding RNA is filed under the name Gallus gallus (chicken). The record is from RNAcentral. Lineage: Eukaryota; Metazoa; Chordata; Aves; Galliformes; Phasianidae.
UGAGGUUGUGCUUGGCUUUUACUGAUGCCUCAAAGGUGUCCACGUUUUCCCGUUCAUACUCUUUCACAUCAGCAGCUACCCUUUCCAGGAUGUCAUCCGGUGAAUUUGAGCGACUGCGUGUACUACUUUGAGGACUGCUUGGUUCAGAUGGCACAGAUAUAUUACUAUCUUCUGUCUGGCCCUUGUAUUUCUGAACAAUUGCUUGCCGCUGUAACCUUCGCUGCCUUAUUUCUGCUUCUUCAUCCUCUUCUUCCAAAUCAAAAUCUUCAAGGUUUUCAUCGGAUGAAGACUCCUGUUCAGCUUUCAUGCCCUCAGAAAGACUACCUUUAAAUUUGUCUUCUUUAACUUUGCUCCUACUCCUACGCCUGUGACCACCACGUGACCUGGACCUCCUUCGAAGGCGAGAUCUACUUCUUCGGCCUCUAUCCCUCCUCCGAGGGGACCUACUCCUCCUUCGUGGAGAUCGGCUACGUCGAAGGGGUGACCGAGACCUCCUCCUAAUGGGCGACCGAGACCUUCUCCGGGACGGAGACCAUCUGCUGGGUGGGCUGAUAUCUUUUGAUCUUUCACGUCUAGACAAAAUAUCAUCUCUGGUUCGCGUUCUGGGAGAUGAAAGACGCCUCCUUUCCGAUUCUCUUCUUUUCCUUUCUGCAGAUCUACUCCUCAGCCUUCUAGCUGGAGAUCGGGUUCGAGAGGGGGAUUUACUCUGUUUAGAUCUACGAUCAUUAAAGAGAGGGGAUCUGCUUCUUCUUGACUUUUCACGUGGCUUAGGAGACAAGCUUCUUCCUUUUGGGCUUCGGCCAGGUCUUCUGGGGGACCUGUUUUCUUUCCCUGAAGAAGCGUCUUUAGAAGGAGAUUUAAUUGGCUUUUUAUCUUUGUCAGUCUCUGAUCGCCUAGAUUUUCUAUCUUUGGACCGCGAUCGUCUAUCUUUGGAUUUGCUUCUGAGUUCUGCUGGAGAUUUGGAUUUUCUGCCGCGAUCUCGACUUUUGCUUUCAUUUACAACUGGAGACUUCCUGCGAUCCCUUGAUUUACUCUUAUCGUCAGCCUUAUUCCUGUCGUCCGGGGGAGAUUUAGACUUCCUAUUUUUCUCCUGAGAUCUUCUUUUAAGCAUUGGAGAUCUUGAUUUCCUCGUCUGAUCUUGAGACUUACUUCUUUUACAGGGGCUUUUGGAUUUUCUCCUCUCUUUUGACUUGCUUCUAGCUGUUUUCUCCUUGAUUCCAUCAACCGCUACCUUGCUUUUCUUUUUGUCAGACCUGUGCCUAGUCCUUUCUUUCGAUUCGCUCUUAUUUCCUUUUUUGGAACUAGCUUUAUUUUCCACAGGUUCUAAUUUCCCCUUAGUGUUUGACUUAGCUGCAGGUCUAGUUCCAUUUCGCGCCUUUUCGUUGAUUUCCCCCUCUUCUUCAGAUCCCGACUCAUAACCUUGUAAUAUUAAUCCCAUACCGGACUGGACUUUGCCUUCCAUUAAUUCAUUUUCGAGUUCAGCUUUCAAUAAAGCUCUUUGUUUCUCCAAGUCUUCCAGAGGAGCUAAAAAAUCAAUUUUAGUUCUUUUAGCUGGUCCGUCUUCCUUGUCAGAGGCAUCAGCUACCUCUUUCCGUUUAUGUUUCUUAUGUUUGUGUCUGUGUUUGUGUUUUUUGUCCUUAUCUUCUUCUGAAGAAUGUUUAUGCUUCUUGUGUUUACUUCGGUGUUUGUGUUUCUUUUUUUUGUGUCGGCUGUGCUUGUUCUGAGGUUGAUCUGCUUCUGACACUUCCCCAUUUUCUUCAUUUGUACUUUUCUCAGAUGCAUUGGCAUCCUCAGCCUCAGGCGCUCGCUGCUCGGGCUCCGCCGCGGCGGCCAUUUUGAACUUCCAAACUCCUUCGCUGCCGCUGGGGAGACGCGGGGCCGCGGCGCACGCGCACCCGGGCCGCCGGGAGGGGUUGGGGAUGGCGGGGUGGCGGCCGCCGGAAGCGAACCCCGCGCGCGGGGCGGGCUGCGAACAGCCGGCACCGCCUUCUGCCCCGGGGCGCGCGGGCGGCGAUGGAGAGCGAAGAGGCGGGAGUGGGCGGGAGAGGUACGGCUGUGCUGCUGCUGCUGCUUCGUUGGCUGUGGUUAAGACGACCUGGAGAGGGAAGCGGGGCCUAGGAAGGACUCUAAUCAUUCUUUUCUUGGUUUGCCCACCGGCUCCGCCUGAAGAUGAAUGAAUUUAAUUGCGAACGCGCUGUGCUCCGUCAGCGAAGCCAAUGAAAUAAAACCUCCAGGCGAUACCCCGCUGUGUCUGAGGGCUCGGAACCCAUGCUGCUGGCCCGGUACAAGCGCUGCUUGUUCCAGCAUCAGAAGCAAGAUCACAGCACACCUGACCUCGAGUGUCUCCAGGGAUGGGGCAUCCACCACCAAUCUGGGUUUCUUUUAUCUACACUGACAAUGGGAACUGGAAAUUCUACUGAAGAAAUCAAGUGAUCAUUGAAAAUCAUGGUUCUCCUCUGCUUUCUCACUGUUUUUUUUUUAAAAAGCUGCUUUUUUUAUGGCAACAAGUAUAUCAAAAAUGGUAGUGACUUUCCAAGUGUUACUGUUGUCAUUAUUACUUGUGCUUAUUUCACCUUGUUUUUCUCUUUGUGCUGAGUAGCACUGUAGUAAUUUUGCAAUGAAAGUGUGCAUUCAAAAUGAUGAUUUGUUCUUUUAGAGUGUUUGUAAAUGGCAGUUCAAUAUUGCUGUGAGUCAUCUGCCUAUUUACUGUGUUUAUAAUACAUGUGGAACUAAAAAGAGUAACUAUUUCCUCAAUGUUAACUGUAUUCAACAACAUUAGAUCUAAUUCUGCCCCACUGUAAAAAUCAAAUGUCUUGUCUAGCUCUUCUGAGAAGCUUUUUUUCUCCCAUGUGAGUUUUUUCACAAGCACAAUACAGAAUGAUCUGCAAGGUUUUCUCUUAUUGGACUGAUUUAUGAAGAUUAUGCUAUUUCAAAAGUCCCUUUAAAACCGUCUUUUACCUGGAAGUAUCUGAAGCCUUUUUCCGUCACUGAGGGUAAUGUGAAAAUACUGGCUGAUACUGUACCUCUGGGGUUCUUUUUGGAUUAGUUCACUUAAUAUAUUUCUUAAUUUCUAGAGUGGAGGUUAAAUAUCAAAUGAGAAAUCACAAAACAUCUCCAUCCCUUUUGUGUUCUAUUUGUGGUUAAGUACUCAGAUCCAGACAGGAGGUUAAUGGACGUUUCAAUCAAAUUCAUUAGAAGUAAGCAAACGAGAGGGAGGAAGAGAUGAAAGCUGAAGAUAAUCCCUUGUGGUCCAACCCAAAAGCAACUAGAAAGAGGAAUUCAAGUGGAUUUUCACGCAGUACCUGUAAUAGGCAUGGCCCAUAUUGUAGUAAAAAUUGCUCUUCUGUUUGUUUUAAUGUCAGUAGUUGUGUCGAUCCCUAUUAUAGAACAAUUAAUUGUGGCACACUUGUUUAUUUAGUGCCUGCAAGCUUACUUAUUUUAACAAGAAAGCUUUCUGCAGGUAACCUGAACAGAAAUAAAGUCUCCCAUUCAAAUAAUUGUCUUCUGCUUGGUUUGUGAUGGAAGCAGUCUUGUUUGAAUAAAGCAAUCAGACUGGUUGAAAGGUAUAUCCAAAGGUUUCUUCUUACAUUUUAUUUCAACCACUAAUAAAAGAAGAGCCACCUUCUGUUUCUGUAGGUUUCUAAAUCUGUAAGUUUGGCUUUGAGGAUGAUUUUGCAUGUGGUAUGUGGCUAAUGUAUAUGUCUAUUAAAUAUUACAUUACAUCACAGUACACACCUACUACUUAAGCAGAGAAGCCACUUUUUGACUUUUGAUGCUGUGUGCUGUAAUCUAAAUAGUUAACAUUGUCAAAUAUUUUUGCUGAGUAACUUCUUUAUCCCACUGUUUUUUAGGACCAAAGUAGCUGCCUAUAAUGAAUCAGAAUUUCCUGCUUUCAAAUCAUUACUUCUCACGAAGGAAGAAGUAGAUGCAUGUUUUAAUUGGUCGGUGGAAUUUGUAUAACAAAAAAAAUGGGCUUGAAUAGUCAAAGGCUUGAUUACUUGUAGU